GACCGAGGGUGCAAACGUUGUUCGGAUUUCCUGGGCGUAAAGCGCGUGUAGGCGGCUUUGCAAGUCGGAUGUGAAAGCCCACGGCUCAACCGUGGAAGUGCAUCCGAAACUGCAUGGCUCGAGUCUCGGAGAGGAAGGUGGAAUGCUUGGUGUAGAGGUGAAAUUCGUAGAUAUCAAGCAGAACACCUGCGGCGAAGGCGGCCUUCUGGACGAUGACUGACGCUGAGACGCGAAAGCGUGGGGAGCAAACAGG
RNAcentral lists this ribosomal RNA (253 nucleotides) under uncultured bacterium. RNAcentral describes it as "partial 16S ribosomal RNA". It matches the Rfam family "Bacterial small subunit ribosomal RNA", at positions 524 to 776 of the family's 1533-position model. The record is from RNAcentral.